This 645-nucleotide long non-coding RNA is filed under the name Cyanistes caeruleus (blue tit). RNAcentral describes it as "lncRNA (ENSCCEG00000021221.1)". Lineage: Eukaryota; Metazoa; Chordata; Aves; Passeriformes; Paridae. The record is from RNAcentral.
UUCCCACUUAGUGCUUCUCGCCGCGGUACCUUCCCGCUCCGGCGGCAGCGGCUCUCCGAGGAGGAGCAGGGACCGGGACUGGCAGGGGCUGAGCAGCUGAUGCCUUCAUCCAGAGAAAUGGAGCCAUUUUGGGAGCACCAGCACAUCUCCACACUCACCAAGGGGACACUUCCAGCACAGCUCAGAGCAUCCUCAGGCAGCUUCUGUGCUGCAGUGGUGGAAUCUCCUCUUUAAUGGCACCAGGAAGAAGCAGCAGGAAAUGCAGAGUGAAAUUCUUCCACACAAGCUGCUGCCAGACCAUCGCCCACUGUGCCUGGAGAGUCCCUGCAUCCUCAGAUACAGAGCACAGAAUAAACCGUGACCCUGGGGAUGUCUGCAGGUUCCUGGGUUGCUGUUUGUGCUGUUUGUGGAUCCUGCUGUAAGAUUCCUCAGAGGGGCUGGCAUUGGCAGCUGCAUCAUCGUGGUGCCUUGAGAAAGCGCUUCUGCACAGCAUUUCUCAUAACCAGGACUGAGAACAGAGGCUCACACUGUACAAAUCCACACCCUUCACCUCCUUUCCCCAGAGAGACUCCAAACCACACGAGCAGGAGGCACAGCAGCUCCUUGACUUCAGCUAAUUGCCAUGUUCCCUCGAAGGAGGAGUGA